UAGGGAAUAUUGGACAAUGGGGGCAACCCUGAUCCAGCCAUGCCGCGUGAGUGAGGAAGGCCCUCGGGUUGUAAAGCUCUUUUGUCCGGAAAGAAAAGCUUCGGGUUAAUACCCCGGGGUUCUGACGGUACCGGAAGAAUAAGCACCGGCUAACUUCGUGCCAGCAGCCGCGGUAAUACGAAGGGUGCAAGCGUUACUCGGAAUUACUGGGCGUAAAGCGUGCGUAGGUGGUUGUUUAAGUCUGAUGUGAAAGCCCUGGGCUCAACCUGGGAAUGGCAUUGGAAACUGGGCAGCUAGAGUGCGGUAGAGGGUAGUGGAAUUCCCGGUGUAGCAGUGAAAUGCGUAGAGAUCGGGAGGAACAUCUGUGGCGAAGGCGACUGCCUGGACCAGCACUGACACUGAGGCACGAAAGCGUGGGGAGCAAAC
RNAcentral lists this ribosomal RNA (426 nucleotides) under uncultured bacterium. Its description in RNAcentral is "bacterial SSU rRNA". It matches the Rfam family "Bacterial small subunit ribosomal RNA", at positions 355 to 773 of the family's 1533-position model. The record is from RNAcentral.